GGACCUACGGGACGCAGCAGUGGGGAAUAUUGCACAAUGGGGGGAACCCUGAUGCAGCGACGCCGCGUGGGUGAAGAAGUCAUUCGUGACGUAAAGCCCUCUCAGCAGGGAAGAAAAUGACGGUACCUGACUAAGAAGCCCCGGCUAACUACGUGCCAGCAGCCGCGGUAAUACGUAGGGGGCAAGCGUUAUCCGGAUUUACUGGGUGUAAAGGGAGCGUAGACGGCGGCGCAAGUCCGGAGUGAAAGCCCACGG
RNAcentral lists this ribosomal RNA (255 nucleotides) under uncultured bacterium. RNAcentral describes it as "partial 16S ribosomal RNA". It matches the Rfam family "Bacterial small subunit ribosomal RNA", at positions 335 to 607 of the family's 1533-position model. The record is from RNAcentral.